RNAcentral lists this ribosomal RNA (728 nucleotides) under uncultured bacterium. RNAcentral's name for it is "bacterial SSU rRNA". It matches the Rfam family "Bacterial small subunit ribosomal RNA", at positions 94 to 820 of the family's 1533-position model. The record is from RNAcentral.
ACCGGCGCACGGGUGCGUAACGCGUAUGCAAUCUACCUUUUACAGAGGGAUAGCCCAGAGAAAUUUGGAUUAAUACCUCAUAGUAUGUGAGAAUCGCAUGGUUUUCACAUUAAAGUUCCAACGGUAAAAGAUGAGCAUGCGUCCCAUUAGCUAGAUGGUAAGGUAACGGCUUACCAUGGCAACGAUGGGUAGGGGUCCUGAGAGGGAGAUCCCCCACACUGGUACUGAGACACGGACCAGACUCCUACGGGAGGCAGCAGUGAGGAAUAUUGGACAAUGGGCGCAAGCCUGAUCCAGCCAUGCCGCGUGCAGGAUGACGGUCCUAUGGAUUGUAAACUGCUUUUGUACAGGAAGAAACACUCCCUCGUGAGGGAGCUUGACGGUACUGUAAGAAUAAGGAUCGGCUAACUCCGUGCCAGCAGCCGCGGUAAUACGGAGGAUCCAAGCGUUAUCCGGAAUCAUUGGGUUUAAAGGGUCCGUAGGCGGUUUAAUAAGUCAGUGGUGAAAGCCCAUCGCUCAACGGUGGAACGGCCAUUGAUACUGUUAAACUUGAAUUAUUAGGAAGUAACUAGAAUAUGUAGUGUAGCGGUGAAAUGCUUAGAGAUUACAUGGAAUACCAAUUGCGAAGGCAGGUUACUACUAAUGGAUUGACGCUGAUGGACGAAAGCGUGGGUAGCGAACAGGAUUAGAUACCCUGGUAGUCCACGCCGUAAACGAUGGAUACUAGC